RNAcentral lists this ribosomal RNA (155 nucleotides) under Schistocerca americana (American grasshopper). Its description in RNAcentral is "5.8S ribosomal RNA". It matches the Rfam family "5.8S ribosomal RNA". From Rfam's summary of the family: 5.8S ribosomal RNA (5.8S rRNA) is a component of the large subunit of the eukaryotic ribosome. It is transcribed by RNA polymerase I as part of the 45S precursor that also contains 18S and 28S rRNA. Functionally, it is thought that 5.8S rRNA may be involved in ribosome translocation. The record is from RNAcentral. Lineage: Eukaryota; Metazoa; Arthropoda; Insecta; Orthoptera; Acrididae. RNAcentral also lists the same sequence under 3 other names.
CACCCAGGACGGUGGAUCACUCGGCUCGUGGGUCGAUGAAGAACGCAGCAAAUUGCGCGUCGACAUGUGAACUGCAGGACACAUGAACAUCGACGUUUCGAACGCACGUUGCGGUCCAUGGAUUCCGUUCCCGGGCCACGUCUGGCUGAGGGUCG